CAUGCAAGUCGAGCGGAAACGAGAAUAGCUUGCUAUUCGGCGUCGAGCGGCGGACGGGUGAGUAAUGCUUGGGAACAUGCCUUGAGGUGGGGGACAACAGUUGGAAACGACUGCUAAUACCGCAUAAUGUCUUCGGACCAAAGGAGGGGAUCUUCGGACCUUUCGCCUUUAGAGUGGCCCAAGUGAGAUUAGCUAGUUGGUGGGGUAAAGGCUCACCAAGGCGACGAUCUCUAGCUGGUUUGAGAGGAUGAUCAGCCACACUGGGACUGAGACACGGCCCAGACUCCUACGGGAGGCAGCAGUGGGGAAUAUUGCACAAUGGGGGAAACCCUGAUGCAGCCAUGCCGCGUGUGUGAAGAAGGCCCUCGGGUUGUAAAGCACUUUCAGUCGUGAGGAAAGGGGUGUAGCUAAUAUCUGCAUCCUGUGACGUUAGCGACAGAAGAAGCACCGGCUAACUCCGUGCCAGCAGCCGCGGUAAUACGGAGGGUGCGAGUGUUAAUCGGAAUUACUGGGCGUAAAGCGUGCGUAGGCGGUUUCUUAAGCGAGAUGUGAAAUCCCGGGGCUCAACCUCGGAACUGCAUUUGGAACUGGGUGACUAGA
Molecule: ribosomal RNA, 600 nt
Filed under: uncultured Gammaproteobacteria bacterium
Lineage: Bacteria; Pseudomonadati; Pseudomonadota; Gammaproteobacteria
Description: bacterial SSU rRNA
Rfam family: Bacterial small subunit ribosomal RNA
Source: RNAcentral